CCCCCUACUCCUACGGGAGGCAGCAGUGGGGAAUAUUGCACAAUGGGCGCAAGCCUGAUGCAGCGACGCCGCGUGAGGGAUGACGGCCUUCGGGUUGUAAACCUCUUUCAGUAGGGAAGAAGCGAAAGUGACGGUACCUGCAGAAGAAGCGCCGGCUAACUACGUGCCAGCAGCCGCGGUAAUACGUAGGGCGCAAGCGUUAUCCGGAUUUAUUGGGCGUAAAGAGCUCGUAGGCGGUUUGUCGCGUCUGCCGUGAAAGUCCGAGGCUCAACCUCGGAUCUGCGGUGGGUACGGGCAGACUAGAGUGAUGUAGGGGAGACUGGAAUUCCUGGUGUAGCGGUGAAAUGCGCAGAUAUCAGGAGGAACACCGAUGGCGAAGGCAGGUCUCUGGGCAUUUACUGACGCUGAGGAGCGAAAGCAUGGGGAGCGAACAGGAUUAGAUACCCUGGUAGUCCAUGCCGUAAACGUUGGGCACUAGGUGUGGGGGACAUUCCACGUUUUCCGCGCCGUAGCUAACGCAUUAAGUGCCCCGCCUGGGGAGUACGGCCGCAAGGCUAAAACUCAAAGGAAUUGACGGGGGCCCGCACAAGCGGCGGAGCAUGCGGAUUAAUUCGAUGCAACGCGAAGAACCUUACCAAGGCUUGACAUGUGCCAGAUCGCCUCAGAGAUGGGGUUACCUAUG
Molecule: ribosomal RNA, 682 nt
Filed under: Arthrobacter sp.
Lineage: Bacteria; Bacillati; Actinomycetota; Actinomycetes; Micrococcales; Micrococcaceae
Description: bacterial SSU rRNA
Rfam family: Bacterial small subunit ribosomal RNA
Source: RNAcentral